Molecule: ribosomal RNA, 492 nt
Filed under: uncultured bacterium
Lineage: Bacteria
Description: partial 16S ribosomal RNA
Rfam family: Bacterial small subunit ribosomal RNA
Source: RNAcentral
AGUGAACGCUGGCGGUAGGCCUAACACAUGCAAGUCGAACGGCAGCACAGUAAGAGCUUGCUCUUACGGGUGGCGAGUGGCGGACGGGUGAGGCAUACAUCGGAAUCUACUUUUUCGUGGGGGAUAACGUAGGGAAACUUACGCUAAUACCGCAUACGACCUACGGGUGAAAGCAGGGGAUCUUCGGACCUUGCGCGAUUGAAUGAGCCGAUGUCGGAUUAGCUAGUUGGCGGGGUAAAGGCCCACCAAGGCGACGAUCCGUAGCUGGUCUGAGAGGAUGAUCAGCCACACUGGAACUGAGACACGGCCCAGACUCCUACGGGAGGCAGCAGUGGGGAAUAUUGGACAAUGGGCGCAAGCCUGAUCCAGCCAUACCGCGUGAGUGAAGAAGGCCUUCGGGUUGUAAAGCCCUUUUGUUGGGAAAGAAAAGCAGCAGGUUAAUACCCCGCUGUUCUGACGGUACCCAAAGAAUAAGCACCGGCUAACUUCGUG